CGACGCUGGCGGCGUGCCUAAUACAUGCAAGUCGAACGAACUCUGGUAUUGAUUGGUGCUUGCAUCAUGAUUUACAUUUGAGUGAGUGGCGAACUGGUGAGUAACACGUGGGAAACCUGCCCAGAAGCGGGGGAUAACACCUGGAAACAGAUGCUAAUACCGCAUAACAACUUGGACCGCAUGGUCCGAGUUUGAAAGAUGGCUUCGGCUAUCACUUUUGGAUGGUCCCGCGGCGUAUUAGCUAGAUGGUGGGGUAACGGCUCACCAUGGCAAUGAUACGUAGCCGACCUGAGAGGGUAAUCGGCCACAUUGGGACUGAGACACGGCCCAAACUCCUACGGGAGGCAGCAGUAGGGAAUCUUCCACAAUGGACGAAAGUCUGAUGGAGCAACGCCGCGUGAGUGAAGAAGGGUUUCGGCUCGUAAAACUCUGUUGUUAAAGAAGAACAUAUCUGAGAGUAACUGUUCAGGUAUUGACGGUAUUUAACCAGAAAGCCACGGCUAACUACGUGCCAGCAGCCGCGGUAAUACGUAGGUGGCAAGCGUUGUCCGGAUUUAUUGGGCGUAAAGCGAGCGCAGGCGGUUUUUUAAGUCUGAUGUGAAAGCCUUCGGCUCAACCGAAGAAGUGCAUCGGAAACUGGGAAACUUGAGUGCAGAAGAGGACAGUGGAACUCCAUGUGUAGCGGUGAAAUGCGUAGAUAUAUGGAAGAACACCAGUGGCGAAGGCGGCUGUCUGGUCUGUAACUGACGCUGAGGCUCGAAAGUAUGGGUAGCAAACAGGAUUAGAUACCCUGGUAGUCCAUACCGUAAACGAUGAAUGCUAAGUGUUGGAGGGUUUCCGCCCUUCAGUGCUGCAGCUAACGCAUUAAGCAUUCCGCCUGGGGAGUACGGCCGCAAGGCUGAAACUCAAAGGAAUUGACGGGGGCCCGCACAAGCGGUGGAGCAUGUGGUUUAAUUCGAAGCUACGCGAAGAACCUUACCAGGUCUUGACAUACUAUGCAAAUCUAAGAGAUUAGACGUUCCCUUCGGGGACAUGGAUACAGGUGGUGCAUGGUUGUCGUCAGCUCGUGUCGUGAGAUGUUGGGUUAAGUCCCGCAACGAGCGCAACCCUUAUUAUCAGUUGCCAGCAUUAAGUUGGGCACUCUGGUGAGACUGCCGGUGACAAACCGGAGGAAGGUGGGGAUGACGUCAAAUCAUCAUGCCCCUUAUGACCUGGGCUACACACGUGCUACAAUGGAUGGUACAACGAGUUGCGAACUCGCGAGAGUAAGCUAAUCUCUUAAAGCCAUUCUCAGUUCGGAUUGUAGGCUGCAACUCGCCUACAUGAAGUCGGAAUCGCUAGUAAUCGCGGAUCAGCAUGCCGCGGUGAAUACGUUCCCGGGCCUUGUACACACCGCCCGUCACACCAUGAGAGUUUGUAACACCCAAAGUCGGUGGGGUAACCUUUUAGGAACCAGCCGCCUAAGGUGGGAC
RNAcentral lists this ribosomal RNA (1472 nucleotides) under Lactiplantibacillus plantarum. Its description in RNAcentral is "bacterial SSU rRNA". It matches the Rfam family "Bacterial small subunit ribosomal RNA". The record is from RNAcentral. Lineage: Bacteria; Bacillati; Bacillota; Bacilli; Lactobacillales; Lactobacillaceae.